Molecule: unclassified non-coding RNA, 637 nt
Filed under: Hevea brasiliensis (rubber tree)
Lineage: Eukaryota; Viridiplantae; Streptophyta; Magnoliopsida; Malpighiales; Euphorbiaceae
Source: RNAcentral
CCCCUUUCGUUCCAUAUAUUGAGGAGCUCCAUUGAUGGUGCAGUUCCAACUACUCCAGGGUGAGUCAAACCUGGAAAUCGUACCCCCGGUAUGUGAGGAGAGUAGGCAUAUAUUCCUUCAAAAUACCAAAUAGCUUUGGUUGCACAAGGGAAAUGAUCAGUCAAAAAACCUCCUCCAUUUUCUCUAUCAAAUGUUGCAGUAAAACCCCAUUCAUCUCCAGGAAGAGGACCCAAGUUGCAAAUUUCAACCACAAGGAGAUCACCUGGCUUGGCUGGAGUUCCUUCCUUGUCCAGAAUUUUGAUUGGUCCACUGAGAUAAUGGACAAUAGAAGGAUCAGCAUGUUUGAUGUCCUCUGCAGAGUUUUCUUGUGUAAUUCUACCCCCACUGAAGUCCACCAUCUCAAUCCUAAAAAGCUCUCCAGUCGUGACCUCCGCGACCGGGGGUAUGUCCGGAUGCCACCGGUUGUGAAGGGGGAGUUUUUGCUCCCAUGGCUUCUUCUUCACAUCUAUAGGAAAGACCAGUCUUGCACCAUAUUUAGCCAUAAAGCUGUAGCCAAAGUGUGAAUCUUGAAAUUACAAAGAAAGUUAGGUAUGUGAAGAAGGAAAAGUAUACUUGUACUAGCUGAAGUAGUGCUGAU